RNAcentral lists this long non-coding RNA (383 nucleotides) under Ananas comosus (pineapple). Its description in RNAcentral is "long non-coding RNA (ACOM_LNC015077)". Lineage: Eukaryota; Viridiplantae; Streptophyta; Magnoliopsida; Poales; Bromeliaceae. The record is from RNAcentral.
AGAAAGGCAACACAUCCUCUACUCAUUAGCUGUCGAGCCCUCGCCGAAGAUAUCCAAGUGGCAAACAGUGUACUCCUGCAGCCUCUAAAAGUAAACUCCUCCUGGCCUGGCUCGCGGAACGUCACUGUCCUCGCUCCACAAUGGAUAGUAGCAUAGUACUGCUCCAGCGAACCCAUACCGAGCACGACGUCGAAGUCCUGCAGCUGCCCUAACACGAACAGGUCUGCGGGCAUGAUCCACGAGUCUAACUGCACCGGACACUACCAACAAUACUCCGCAACCUGUAAAAUAUGGUUUGGGAUCUGCACCUCUCGUGCCUGAGACAAGGCUCCUAACUCUAGACCAUGCAAUAAUGCAAAUGCUCGGCUAAUAAACGAAUGAGA